CCUACGGGUGGCACCAGUGGGGAAUAUUGCACAAUGGGCGCAAGCCUGAUGCAACCAUGCCGCGUGUAUGAAGAAGGCCUUCGGGUUGUAAGGUACUUUCAGCGGGGAGGAAGGCGAUAAGGUUAAUAACCUUGUCGAUUGACGUUACCCGCAGAAGAAGCACCGGCUAACUCCGUGCCAGCAGCCGCGGUAAUACGGAGGGUGCAAGCGUUAAUCGGAAUUACUGGGCGUAAAGCGCACGCAGGCGGUCUGUCAAGUCGGAUGUGAAAUCCCCGGGCUCAACCUGGGAACUGCAUUCGAAGCUGGCAGGCUAGAGUCUUGUAGAGGGGGGGUAGAAUUCCAGGUGUAGCGGUGAAAUGCGUAGAGAUCUGGAGGAAUGCCGGUGGCGAAGGCGGCCCCCUGGACAAAGACUGACGCUCAGGUGCGAAAGCGUGGGGAGCAAACAGGAUUAGAUACCCGCGUAGUC
This 466-nucleotide ribosomal RNA is filed under the name uncultured bacterium. RNAcentral describes it as "bacterial SSU rRNA". It matches the Rfam family "Bacterial small subunit ribosomal RNA", at positions 338 to 795 of the family's 1533-position model. The record is from RNAcentral.